GUCCACGCCUUAAACGAUGUAUGCUUGAUAUCGGAGAAAUUCGGUGUCGUAGGUAACCUGGUAAGCAUACCACCUGGGAAGUACGAUCGCAAGGUUGAAACUCAAAGGAAUUGACGGGGCCCGCACAAGCGGUGGAUCAUGUGGUUUAAUUCGAUGCAACGCGAAAACCUUACCUGGGCUUGAAGUACAAGUAGUAAAGAGAUGAAAGUCAAAUGAAUCGUAAAGCCGAUUGCUUGUAGAGGUGCUGCAUGGCUGUCGU
Molecule: ribosomal RNA, 259 nt
Filed under: uncultured bacterium
Lineage: Bacteria
Description: partial 16S ribosomal RNA
Rfam family: Bacterial small subunit ribosomal RNA
Source: RNAcentral